Crucibulum laeve is the source of this 95-nucleotide non-coding RNA. The record is from the annotation of a GenBank genome assembly. NCBI's taxonomy places the organism in Eukaryota, Fungi, Basidiomycota, Agaricomycetes, Agaricales, Nidulariaceae.
UCGGUUAUGGUGUAACGGCUAACAUUACCGCCUUUCAUUCAUUUGAUAUCUCUUCCAGAUCGCGGUAGCUCGGGGUUCGAUUCCCCGUAACCGAA